CCCUCCUGUCAGGGACACACACACACACACACACACACACACACACACACACACACACACACACACACACACACACACACACACACACACACACACACACACACACACAAAUUUUGGCACUAAUACCGCCACCGCAUUUCUUACAAACGGCAAAACUCUGCAGCGGUUGGCGUACAGCGAGACAUUCAAAUCGACAUGUUUGUGUUGGCUAUCCCAAAAGAGGGAGCUAUAAAAAGAGCCCAUCACAGAAUGACACGUAAAUAAACUCACAGUAAAGCC
Cyprinus carpio (common carp) is the source of this 279-nucleotide long non-coding RNA. RefSeq lists it as uncharacterized. NCBI's taxonomy places the organism in Eukaryota, Metazoa, Chordata, Actinopteri, Cypriniformes, Cyprinidae. The record is from RefSeq and is a predicted model, not a curated record. The transcript is spliced from 2 exons.